AGCGAACGCUGGCGGCAGGCUUAACACAUGCAAGUCGAGCGGGCAUCCUUGUGGUGUCAGCGGCAGACGGGUGAGUAACGCGUGGGAACGUGCCCUUCGGCUCGGAAUAACCCAGGGAAACUUGAGCUAAUACCGGAUACGUGCGAGAGCAGAAAGGUUUAUCUGCCGAAGGAUCGGCGCGCGUCUGAUUAGCUAGUUGGUGAGGUUAUGGCUCACCAAGGCGACGAUCAGUAGCUGGUCUGAGAGGAUGAUCAGCCACACUGGGACUGAGACACGGCCCAGAAUCCUACGGGAGGCAGCAGUGGGGAAUAUUAGACAAUGGAGGCAACCCUGAUCCAGCCAUGCCGCGUGAGUGAUGACGGGCUUAGGGUUGUGAAGCUCUUUUCUCCGGGGCGAUAAUGACGGUACCGGAGGAAUAAGCCCCGGCUAACUUCGUG
RNAcentral lists this ribosomal RNA (437 nucleotides) under uncultured bacterium. RNAcentral describes it as "partial 16S ribosomal RNA". It matches the Rfam family "Bacterial small subunit ribosomal RNA", at positions 29 to 507 of the family's 1533-position model. The record is from RNAcentral.